This 449-nucleotide ribosomal RNA is filed under the name uncultured bacterium. RNAcentral's name for it is "bacterial SSU rRNA". It matches the Rfam family "Bacterial small subunit ribosomal RNA", at positions 328 to 794 of the family's 1533-position model. The record is from RNAcentral.
GUCCCAGACUCCUACGGGAGGCAGCAGUGGGGAAUAUUGCACAAUGGGGGAAACCCUGAUGCAGCGACGCCGCGUGAGUGAAGAAGUCUUUCGGUAUGUAAAGCUCUAUCAGCAGGGAAGAAAAUGACGGUACCUGACCAAGAAGCCCCGGCUAACUACGUGCCAGCAGCCGCGGUAAUACGUAGGGGGCAAGCGUUAUCCGGAUUUACUGGGUGUAAAGGGAGCGUAGACGGCUGUGCAAGUCAGAAGUGAAAGCCCGGGGCUCAACCCCGGGACUGCUUUUGAAACUGCGUGGCUGGAGUGCAGGAGAGGUAAGCGGAAUUCCUGGUGUAGCGGUGAAAUGCGUAGAUAUUAGGAGGAACACCAGUGGCGAAGGCGGCUUACUGGACUGUAACUGACGUUGAGGCUCGAAAGCGUGGGGAGCAAACAGGAUUAGAUACCCUGGUAUA